AUCAUUAAUUAUGUUAAAGCGCCUUACCUUAGGGUUUCCUCUGGGGUAAGUGAUUGCUUCUACACUGUGAAAAUUUGGCUGAGAGACUCAGACUGGUCAUGGGUAGACCUAUCUGGGGUUUGAUCGAUGCCACUCCUGGUUUCAGGAGCACCCUUCAUAAUAAACCUAGAAAUUCAGUAUUAUAAAGUUUAAUAAAAAACAACUUUUAACAAUGGAUCUCUUGGUUCUCGCAUCGAUGAAGAACGUAGCAAAGUGCGAUAACUAGUGUGAAUUGCAUAUUCAGUGAAUCAUCGAGUCUUUGAACGCAGCUUGCACUCUAUGGUUUUUCUAUAGAGUACGCCUGCUUCAGUAUCAUCACAAACCCACACAUAACAUUUGUUUAUGUGGUGAUGGGUCGCAUCGCUGUUUUAUUACAGUGAGCACCUAAAAUGUGUGUGAUUUUCUGUCUGGCUUGCUAGGCAGGAAUAUUACGCUGGUCUCAGGAUCUUUUUUUUUGGUUCGCCCAGGAAGUAAAGUACAAGAGUAUAAUCCAGCAACUUUCAAACUAUGAUCUGAAGUCAGGUGGGAUUACCCGCUGAACUUAAGCAUAUCAAUAAGCGGAGGAAAAGAAAAUAACAAUGAUUUCCCUAGUAACGKCGAGUGAAGAAGAAAGACUC
Molecule: ribosomal RNA, 656 nt
Filed under: Rhizopus arrhizus
Lineage: Eukaryota; Fungi; Mucoromycota; Mucoromycetes; Mucorales; Rhizopodaceae
Description: eukaryotic LSU rRNA
Rfam family: 5.8S ribosomal RNA (bases 201-354)
Source: RNAcentral